This 486-nucleotide ribosomal RNA is filed under the name uncultured Acidobacteriota bacterium. RNAcentral's name for it is "bacterial SSU rRNA". It matches the Rfam family "Bacterial small subunit ribosomal RNA", at positions 224 to 704 of the family's 1533-position model. The record is from RNAcentral. Lineage: Bacteria; Pseudomonadati; Acidobacteriota.
GAGGAGCCUGCGGCAGAUUAGCUAGUUGGUGAGGUAAUGGCUCACCAAGGCUGCGAUCUGUAGCUGGUCUGAGAGGACGGCCAGCCACACUGGCACUGACACACGGGCCAGACUCCUACGGGAGGCAGCAGUGGGGAAUUUUGGGCAAUGGGCGAAAGCCUGACCCAGCAACGCCGCGUGAGGGAGGAAAUCCUUCGGGAUGUAAACCUCACAAGUAAGGGAAGAGUGCUGCGGGCUGAAUAAUUCCGCAGUUCGACGGUACCUUACGUAAGCCACGGCUAACUACGUGCCAGCAGCCGCGGUAAUACGUAGGUGGCAAGCGUUGUUCGGAAUUAUUGGGCGUAAAGGGCGCGUAGGCGGCUUGUUAAGUCGGCUGUGAAAGCCCGGGGCUCAACCCCGGAGGGUCGGCCGAUACUGGCGAGCUAGAGUACGGAAGAGGUAGCUGGAAUUCCCGGUGUAGCGGUGAAAUGCGUAGAUAUCGGGAGG